AAUAGAUACCCAGGUAGUCCAUGCCGUAAACGUUGGGCACUAGGUGUGGGACCCUCUCAACGGGUUCCGCGCCGUAGCUAACGCAUUAAGUGCCCCGCCUGGGGAGUACGGCCGCAAGGCUAAAACUCAAAGGAAUUGACGGGGGCCCGCACAAGCAGCGGAGCAUGUUGCUUAAUUCGAGGCAACGCGAAGAACCUUACCUGGGUUUGACAUGUACGGAAAAGCCGCAGAGAUGCGGUGUCCUUUUGGGCCGUACACAGGUGGUGCAUGGUUGUCGUCAGCUCGUGUCGUGAGAUGUUGGGUUAAGUCCCGCAACGAGCGCAACCCUUGUCCUAUGUUGCCAGCGGGUAGUGCCGGGGACUCGUAGGAGACUGCCGGUGACAAACCGGAGGAAGGUGGGGAUGACGUCAAAUCAUCAUGCCCCUUAUGUCCAGGGCUGCGAACAUGCUACAAUGGCUAGUACAAAGGGCUGCUACACCGCGAGGUUGAGCGAAUCCCACAAAGCUGGUCUCAGUUCGGAUCGGAGU
RNAcentral lists this ribosomal RNA (527 nucleotides) under uncultured bacterium. RNAcentral describes it as "bacterial SSU rRNA". It matches the Rfam family "Bacterial small subunit ribosomal RNA", at positions 777 to 1304 of the family's 1533-position model. The record is from RNAcentral.